Molecule: long non-coding RNA, 532 nt
Filed under: Equus caballus (horse)
Lineage: Eukaryota; Metazoa; Chordata; Mammalia; Perissodactyla; Equidae
Description: lncRNA (ENSECAG00000057149.1)
Source: RNAcentral
GUCUAAUGUCAUUUCCUUUAGUAUUUCUUGGAAGGCAGGUCUGCUAGCAACAUAUUCUCUCAAUUUUUGCUUAUCUGCAAAUAUCUUUAUUUCACCUUCAUCUUUGAAGGCUAGUUUCACUGGAUAUAGAAUUCAUGGUUGACCUGCUUUUCUUUUUUCUUUCAGCGCCUCAAAUGUGUCAUUCCACUACCCUCUUUUGUUUCUGAGGAGAAAUCACUUCUUUGAAGUUUUUGUUUGUUAAACCUAACAUCUGGACCCCACUCAGACCUGUCUCCAUGUAUCAAGUGGCCCUAUAUAAGCAGUCACAUGGAGAGAACUGCAGCUUCCUGCCAACAGCCAUGUAAGUGAAUAUCGUGUUGGCUGCAGAUCCUCUAUCCCCAUUCAAGCCUUCGGAUGAUGACAGACACAGCUGACAUCUUAAUUAUAACCUCAUGAAAGACUCUGAGCCAAAACCACCCUGCUAGUCUACUCCUGAAUUCUUGACUUAAAGAAACUACGUGAGACAAUAAAUGUUUAUUGUUGUUUUAAACCA